AUCGUUCAUUCCCUGCAUCAUUUUAAUGCAAGGAACGGAAGUAGGAAGAUAGGAAAACCUCUUUCUUUUUUAAAGAAAGGCAAGCAAGUACCGAUAAGGGAACGAGACCGAAUAUCUACCGAAGGAACGCGUU
The submitters of this non-coding RNA (133 nucleotides) gave its source as unclassified sequences. The record is from Rfam.